Molecule: ribosomal RNA, 460 nt
Filed under: uncultured bacterium
Lineage: Bacteria
Description: partial 16S ribosomal RNA
Rfam family: Bacterial small subunit ribosomal RNA
Source: RNAcentral
CCUACGGGGGGCUGCAGUGAGGAAUAUUGGUCAAUGGACGAGAGUCUGAACCAGCCAAGUAGCGUGAAGGAUGACUGCCCUAUGGGUUGUAAACUUCUUUUAUAAAGGAAUAAAACGAGGCACGUGUGCCUUUUUGCAUGUACUUUAUGAAUAAGGAUCGGCUAACUCCGUGCCAGCAGCCGCGGUAAUACGGAGGAUCCGAGCUUUAUCCGGAUUUUUUGGGUUUAAAGGGAGCGUAGAUGGGUUGAUAAGUUAGUUGUGAAAGUUUGCGGCUCAACCGUGAAAUUGCAAUUGAUACUGGAAGUCUAGAGUACAGUUGAGGUAGGCGGAAUUCGUGGUGUAGCGGUGAAAUGCUUAGAUAUCACGAAGAACCCCGAUUGCGAAGGCAGCUGACUAAACUGUGACUGACAUUGAUGCUCGAAAGUGUGGGUAUCAAACAGGAUUAGAUACCCUUGUAGUC